UAGUUAAAUUUUGAAGGUAAAUUCUGCCCUAUGAUUAUUUAAAUGGCUGCAGUAUUCUGACUGUGCAAAGGUAGCAUAAUAAUUAGUCUUUUAAUUGAAGGCUGGUAUGAAUGAAUAUAUGAAAAAUUAAUUUUAUUAUUUUUAAAAUUAAAAUUUGCUAUAUUAGUAAAAAAGCUUAUUUAGUUUUUUGGGACGAUAAGACCCUAUAGAACUUAAAUAUUAAUAAUAUUUAUUUUAUUUUAAUAAAUAAUUUUAAUAGUUUUAUUAAUAUUUUUUUUGGGGCGGAUAAUAAAUUUGACUUUAUUUUUUUAUUUCAUUUAAUUUAUGUUUUAUUGAUCCAUUUAUGAUUAUAAGACAAAGUUACCUUAGGGAUAACAGCGUAAUUUUAAUGAGGAGUUCAUAUUUAUAUUAGAGUUUGCGACCUCGAUGUUGAAUUAAGAUUAGAUUGAGGGGCAG
Molecule: ribosomal RNA, 456 nt
Filed under: Brevimetopia chusquea
Lineage: Eukaryota; Metazoa; Arthropoda; Insecta; Hemiptera; Cicadellidae
Description: partial large subunit ribosomal RNA
Source: RNAcentral